UGAGGAAAGUCCGUGCAUCCAAGGACAGACCGCCGGAGAAACUCCGGACGACGUGAGUCGGUGGAUAGGACCACAGAAAUGUAGACUGCCGAUGGAAAGAAAUUUCACAGGCGAUGGUGCAACGGUGAGUUAAGAGCUUCACCAACGGUAUUGAGAAAUAUCGGUUAGGCAACCCCCGGUCGGAUGCAAGAUUAAACGGAAGGUUUUAACGCGGUCCGCUACUUCCGAAAAAUCGCUAGAGAUUGGCAGUAAUGCCAAUACCAGACAGAUGAUUAUCUUGAAACAGAACACGGCUUAUGAGCUGCUUU
RNAcentral lists this RNase P RNA (308 nucleotides) under pig gut metagenome. RNAcentral's name for it is "Bacterial RNase P class A". It matches the Rfam family "Bacterial RNase P class A", at positions 42 to 362 of the family's 367-position model. From Rfam's summary of the family: Ribonuclease P (RNase P) is a ubiquitous endoribonuclease, found in archaea, bacteria and eukarya as well as chloroplasts and mitochondria. The record is from RNAcentral.